Molecule: unclassified non-coding RNA, 200 nt
Filed under: Ceratobasidiaceae sp.
Lineage: Eukaryota; Fungi; Basidiomycota; Agaricomycetes; Cantharellales; Ceratobasidiaceae
Description: partial internal transcribed spacer 2
Source: RNAcentral
UUAAGUUCAGCGGGUAGUCCUACCUGAUUUGAGAUCAGAUCGUAAAGCUAAUAGACGAUUGGAAGCAGUUCGUCCGCGACCCCGGCCACUUUUUUACAGUGUCCUCAGCGAAUGAUUACUUAUCACGCCGAGUGGAACCGAGCCUCGCCGAGAAUCCAGCUAAUGCAUUUAAGAGGAGCGGAUGUGAAUCCGCAGACCUC